Molecule: non-coding RNA, 975 nt
Filed under: Pan troglodytes (chimpanzee)
Lineage: Eukaryota; Metazoa; Chordata; Mammalia; Primates; Hominidae
Source: RNAcentral
AGCUGCAGGGACGCGGGCGACGAGUGCGAGCGGACAUGCUGGGCACCCCCAGCCAGUCGAGGCCCCGGGUGGCCGCCCGACGAGUCGGUGCUGGACUGGCGCGAGUGCGAGCCCGAAUCAGGCUCCUUAAAGAAAGACUCCGGCAGGAUCUUCUUCCGCCACGAGCUAGGCUUCGGAUUCAUGACAGAGUUGAAGAGGGCUUCGAGGUCUGUGUCUAGGUCCUGCGUGACGUGGAUCACUUGCUGCCCAGGCGGCGGGAGCGGAGGGGGCGCCGAGGCCGGAUUCAUCUUCUGCAAAAAGAAGGACAGGCAGCCCCCCGAAAGAAGUUCAGCCCGAGCCAACUCCACCACGUCUCGACUCCGGAAGCCCGAGGAGCCUGGAGCCCUGGAGUUGUGCCGGAUGAGCGCGCGAGCUCCAGCGGGCACUACCUGGGCGGGCAGCGAAGCUGAGCCUGAGCGCGCGGCGGCCGCCGUCCCGCCCGAACUUGCCGUCGGGCCUGGGUCGCUCGGGUGAGUCCCGAGAUUGCGGAGCUGGAGCCGAGGCUUGGCUGACAAAUCCCGACCCGACUCGGUGCCUGGCAGUCUAAGGGCUUCGGCUCUCACAUCCCCCGAGCUGGCCUAAGGCGCUAGUGCUGGGCGAAAAGGAGGCGCAGGAGAAGCAGACAGCGCGGCCGCAGCAGCUCCCGGACUGUCCCAUAAACAAAGUUUGGAGCAAACUCCCACCCCCAGGAAAGAGGCGGGCCCGAAAGUUGAGCUGUUGAAUUAUGUAUGACCUCCUAGUCCCUAGCCGGCCAGCCCCCGCUCGCCCCUCCUCUUCCUCCUCCUCCUCCUCCCACCUCGGCUCCAGAAAACCCUGGGCGUGAUGGGUACUUUACUGGGUAAGAGGAGACGGGUGCCCCCCACCCACUCCUCCCGGCCGCGCGGACCUCUCCCGCGGAGACCUGCAUCUGCAUUCCUUUGAGUUUACCACGGACUU